This is a non-coding RNA of Gossypium hirsutum (cotton), 87 nucleotides long. NCBI's taxonomy places the organism in Eukaryota, Viridiplantae, Streptophyta, Magnoliopsida, Malvales, Malvaceae. The record is from Rfam.
CACGUCAGCUCGUUUUGCUGAUGUGGCAACAAAUCGCUUUUACGAGGGGGCGAUUUGUUGCCACGUCAGCAAAGCGCGCUGACGUGG